GAAAUGCGAUAAGUAGUGUGAAUUGCAGAAUUCAGUGAAUCAUCGAAUCUUUGAACGCACAUUACGCCCCUUGGUAUUCCAUGGGGCAUGCCUGUUCGAGCGUCAUUUGUACCCUCAAGCUCUGCUUGGUGUUGGGUGUUUGUCCCCGUCUCCGCGCGUGGACUCGCCCCAAAGUGAUUGGCAGCCGGCGUACUGGUCCCGGAGCGCAGCACAUGUCGCGCAAACGAGUGCCUUGGUACGGCGGCGUCCAUAAGCCCCUCUCUCACGCUCUUGACCUCGGAUCAGGUAGGGAUACCCGCUGAACUUAAGC
RNAcentral lists this unclassified non-coding RNA (310 nucleotides) under plant metagenome. Its description in RNAcentral is "partial contains 5.8S ribosomal RNA, internal transcribed spacer 2, and large subunit ribosomal RNA". The stretch from base 1 to 105 matches the Rfam family "5.8S ribosomal RNA", at positions 50 to 154 of the family's 154-position model. The record is from RNAcentral.